RNAcentral lists this ribosomal RNA (253 nucleotides) under uncultured bacterium. RNAcentral describes it as "partial 16S ribosomal RNA". It matches the Rfam family "Bacterial small subunit ribosomal RNA", at positions 524 to 776 of the family's 1533-position model. The record is from RNAcentral.
UACGUAGGGCGCAAGCGUUGUCCGGAAUUAUUGGGCGUAAAGAGCUCGUAGGCGGUUUGUCGCGUCUGCUGUGGAAACCUAAGGCUCAACCUUGGGCUUGCAGUGGGUACGGGCAGACUAGAGUGCGGUAGGGGUGACUGGAAUUCCUGGUGUAGCGGUGGAAUGCGCAGAUAUCAGGAGGAACACCGAUGGCGAAGGCAGGUCACUGGGCCGCAACUGACGCUGAGGAGCGAAAGCGUGGGGAGCGAACAGG